This 96-nucleotide microRNA precursor is filed under the name Podarcis lilfordi (Lilford's wall lizard). Lineage: Eukaryota; Metazoa; Chordata; Lepidosauria; Squamata; Lacertidae. The record is from RNAcentral.
CCUCCAGAUGUUUUGGGACUUCAACUCCCAUCAUCCCUGACCACUGGUCCUGUUAGCUAGGGAUGAUGGGAGUUGAAGUCCCAAAACAUCUAGAGG